GUUGUUUCAUUUUGUUCAAAAAAAGAUGGAUGGUUAUUUUGGUCAACUUGUGUUCAUGCAAUGAAAGCUACCUAAAAUAAUUUUUCAAUCAUUGACUCCUGCAACAAACUUAGACUUAAAAGAGUUAAAGUAACUGGAGAUAAAGAAGUAUGUGCAGGAUUUAAUUUCACGACUAAAGAGGACUCCGAAGUAAAGUUCUGAUGGAUCAAAGAUCGAGGAAUGAUUUGGUUUUAACUGGUUUGCAUCUUAUGAACGAAGUACAUAAUAUGAUUUAAAUUGAUGAUUUAUAGUUACACCUAUUGAAGUUCUGUAUCUCAAUGAUAUCCUGGCUUAUCGAUACGAUAUCCUGUAAAUCCACUCACACACAUAAAUUUUACUCACACACGUAAAUCAUGUAUAUUCACUCACUCACAUAAAUCUUAAAACAGAUGUUUAUAUUUUUUAUCUAUAAAUUGUAAAUUUUAUAUAAAUAAAUUGUAUAUUUUUUUUGUU
Long non-coding RNA from Hydra vulgaris (swiftwater hydra), 492 nucleotides. RefSeq lists it as uncharacterized. The record is from RefSeq and is a predicted model, not a curated record. Lineage: Eukaryota; Metazoa; Cnidaria; Hydrozoa; Anthoathecata; Hydridae.